UACACUUAUGGAAACAAUUUU
RNAcentral lists this non-coding RNA (21 nucleotides) under Caenorhabditis elegans. Lineage: Eukaryota; Metazoa; Nematoda; Chromadorea; Rhabditida; Rhabditidae. The record is from RNAcentral.